RNAcentral lists this long non-coding RNA (247 nucleotides) under Homo sapiens (human). Its description in RNAcentral is "HSALNT0166802". The record is from RNAcentral. Lineage: Eukaryota; Metazoa; Chordata; Mammalia; Primates; Hominidae.
CUCACACUCUAGGACGGAUCUUCUUGGAGCAGGGAAUCUUUUAACACCUCUUUCUUUUCUAGACUCUCAUGCUAACAGCUAUUGGAUGGAAAGAGAUGUUUGGGCUUCUGUGGUUGUUUACUGUGUACGCCAGAUAGAACCGUGGGUCUCCAGCUGCUGUUCCACACAGAUGUUUGGCUAACUCCAGCUAGGCUGAAAUAUUGGCAGAUUCAUUUUACUGAAGGAUUUCAGUUUCCGUGACUUCUUG